GCUUCAGCUUCCUCCUGCCUCCAGAAUGUUCUGUGGCUCCAGAACCAGCUGGAUGGUCACACUUCUCUGUACUUCUCCACACAUCACAUGGAGAAACAAGCAAAGCCAAACUCAAAGACCCUCAGACAAGAUGGAUUAAAUAAUUUGUGGCCACAGAACAUUUCCUCUGGCUUCAGAAAAAUACUCUUGUCAUUUCUAGGGCUGCCUCAGCUGCCAGCAGUGGUGGCUGUGUUGUCCCAGUACUGCCCACAGUCCAGCUGGAGUCCAGCUUGCAAGGAUGCGCACUGUGCAGCCAACCUGCAGCAAGGAAAAGAUUGGAAGCAGCCUGAUUUCUGAGAUCUUGCAGAGAGCUGGUUCCUUGGAAAGAAGAGCUAGACCUGACAGCCCUGGACUUUAUUGAAGACGGCAUUAUGAAACUCCACCAGGCCAGCUUCCAAGUGUCCAACUGGAACUGCACUGGGAAAAAGCUGUCACUGACAGGAGUCAGUGGAGCUGAAGGCUCUGUGCACAAUGGGUCCUGUGGGAUCAGGUGCUGUGCAGCCCCAGCUUUACGUUUUCCACCACUAUGGAUGGGCAGUG
This is a long non-coding RNA of Cyanistes caeruleus (blue tit), 579 nucleotides long. RefSeq lists it as uncharacterized. The record is from RefSeq and is a predicted model, not a curated record. NCBI's taxonomy places the organism in Eukaryota, Metazoa, Chordata, Aves, Passeriformes, Paridae.